CACCGGGCGAGGAGCUCAAGCCCCGCCCCCCGGGGUCCUCCAGCCCCCACCUCGCCCCUCUCUAUGGUCCCUCUCUAUGGUCUCGGGGCCCACAACUCUAUGGUUAAGGCCCCCCCGACUCUAUGGUGCCCUCAACCCGGAAGUCCUCCCUAUCCAGCCCGGAGGCCUCUCUAUGGUCGCGGCCCCUACGUCACUCCGGUACCGGCCGCGCCUCUCUAUGGUCCCACCGGUCCCGGGCUCCUCCAGCCCCCCCUCCCUCGUCUCUAUGAUCCCUGCGCCCCUCUAGGCCGCCCCCCAUCGUCUCUAUGAUCCCCGGGCCCCUCUAGGCCCCCUCCCUCAACUCUAUGAUCCCGGUACCGGGCCCCUCUAGCCCGCCCCCCAUCGUCUCUAUGAUCCCCGGGCCCGGGCCCCUCUGCCCUCUCCCCCCGGCCCCUCUCUAUGACCCCGGGGGCGGCCCCCGGGCCCUCACCCGGCUCCUUCGGCCUCUCCCGGGCUCUCCCAGCACUUCCGCCAAUGCAGUGACGUCACCGGGUGCUUGGUCACGUGACGAGGGGGGGCCGGUACCGCGACCCCGCCCUCCCGGAAGUCAAUAUUGGCCCCCCUCCUACGUCACUUCCUUUCCGUGGGGAGAGACGAGUUCGGCCAGAGCGGCACUUCCGGCCUCCACAGGGGCCUCUGGAGGACUGGGGAACUGGGAGGACUGGGAGGAUACUGGGAUAUACUGGGACAGACUGGGAGGGCGCUGGGACCGACUGGGCAGUGACUGGGAUAUACUGGGUUGUACUGGGCGCAGAAAAAUCAGCGCACAUCGCACCCACUGGGGCGAACUGGGCCAUACUGGGAGCACUGGGAGAGGGUACUGGGGCAUACUGGGAGCUCUGGGAGAAGGAACUGGGGUUACUGGGUGUGCUAAGAUGGGUAACUGGGCCAUACUGGGAGCACUGGGAGAGGGAACUGGGGUUACUGGGAGCACUCAGACAGGGAACUGGGCGUACUGGGAGCUCUGGGAGAACGAACGGGGGUUCCUGGGUGUGCUAAGAGGGGUAACUGGGCCAUACUGGGAGCACUGGGACAAGGAACUGGGGCACCUGGGGAGCAGCAGAACAUACUGGGAGGCACUGGGAGGCACUGGGAGCAGGACCAGGCACACUGGGAGGCACUGGAGUGAGGAAAUGGGGCAUACUGGGAGGCACUGGGUAUACUGGGGAGCACUGGGUGCGAACUGGAGCAGACUGGGGGGACUGGGCAGAGAGACUGGGAGGCAGUGGGUGUACUGGGGUGUACUGGGAGAGGGAACUGGGCAUACUGGGAGCUCUGGGAGAGGGUACUGGGGCAUACUGGGAGCUCUGGGAGAGGAAAUUGGGGUUACUGGGUGUGCUGAGAUGGGGAAAUGGGCAUACUGGGAGCCUUCAGACAGGGAACUGGGCAUACUGGGAGCUCUGGGAGAGGGAACUGGGGUUACUGGGUGUGCUGAGAUGGGGAAAUGGGCAUACUGGGAGCACUCAGACAGGGAACUGGGCAUACUGGGAGCCUUCAGACAGGGAACUGGCCAUACUGGGAGCCCCCAGACAGGGAACUGGGCAUACUGGGAAUGCAAACUGGUCGCACUGGGAGCGGGAACCGGUCCCACCAACCCCUCCUUGAACCCCCCCCUACCC
This 1658-nucleotide long non-coding RNA is filed under the name Anas zonorhyncha (Eastern spot-billed duck). Its description in RNAcentral is "lncRNA (ENSAZOG00000008334.1)". Lineage: Eukaryota; Metazoa; Chordata; Aves; Anseriformes; Anatidae. The record is from RNAcentral.